UACAGAGGUCCCAAGCGUUGUUCGGAUUCAUUGGGCGUAAAGGGUGCGUAGGUGGCAGGGUAAGUUGGAUGUGAAAUCCCGGGGCUCAACCCCGGAACUGCAUUCAAUACUGCCCUGCUAGAGUACUGGAGAGGAGACUGGAAUUCCUGGUGUAGCAGUGAAAUGCGUAGAUAUCAGGAGGAACACCGAUGGCGAAGGCAGGUCUCUGGGCUGACACUGACGCUCAUGCACGAAAGCGUGGGGAGCAAACAGG
Molecule: ribosomal RNA, 253 nt
Filed under: uncultured bacterium
Lineage: Bacteria
Description: partial 16S ribosomal RNA
Rfam family: Bacterial small subunit ribosomal RNA
Source: RNAcentral